UGCCCCAGUAGCGGCGAGCGAAGCGGCAACAGCUCAAAUUUGAAAUCUGGCCCCUCCGGGGUCCGAGUUGUAAUUUGCAGAGGAUGCUUCGGCGUCGGCCCCGGGAUAGGUCCCCUGGAACGGGGCGCCAUAGAGGGUGAGAGCCCCGUACUCGCCCGGUCCGCCUUCGCCGUGUGAAGCUCCUUCGAAGAGUCGAGUUGUUUGGGAAUGCAGCUCUAAGCGGGAGGUAUAUUUCUUCUAAAGCUAAAUACCGGCCAGAGACCGAUAGCGCACAAGUAGAGUGAUCGAAAGAUGAAAAGCACUUUGGAAAGAGAGUUAAAAAGCACGUGAAAUUGUUGAAAGGGAAGCUCUUGCCGCCAGACUUGCCCCGGUCGUUCAGCCGUCCUUAUGGGCGGUGCACUCGUCCGGCGGCAGGCCAGCGUCAGUUCGGGCGGUCGGACAAAGGCCGCGGGAAUGUAGCACCCCUAGGGGUGUGUUAUAGCCCGCGGCGCAAUGCGGCCAGCCCGGUCUGAGGNACGCGUUCGCGAGGACGUUGGCGUAAUGGCGGCAAGCGACCCGUCUUGAAACACGGACCAAGGAGUCUAACAUCUGUGCGAGUGUUUGGGUGUCAAACCCAUGCGCGCAAUUAAAGUGAACGGAGGUUGGAACCCCCCCGAGGGGCGCACAAUCGACCGAUCCUGAUGUCUUCGGAUGGAUUUGAGUAAGAGCAUAGCUGUUGGGACCCGAAAGAUGGUGAACUUUGCCUGGACAGGGCGAAGCCAGAGGAAACUCUGGUGGAGGCUCGCAGCGGUUCUGACGUGCAAAUCGAUCGUCAAAUCUUGGCAAAGGGGCGAAAGACUAAUCGAACCAUCUAGUAGCUGGUUCCCGCCGAAGUUUCCCUCAGGAUAGCAGUGACGUCGACAGUUUUAUGAGGUAAAGCGAAUGAUUAGAGGCCUUGGGGUUGAAACAACCUUAACCUAUUCUCAAACUUUAAAUAUGUAAGAAGCCCUUGUUGCUUAGCUGAACGUGGGCAGUCGAAUGGACCGUCACUAGUGGGCCAUUUUUGGUAAGCAGAACUGGCGAUGCGGGAUGAACCGAAAGCGAGAUUAAGGUGCCGGAAUGCACGCUUAUCAGACACCACAAAAGGUGUUGGUUGAUCCUGACAGCAGGACGGUGGCCAUGGAAGUCGGAACCCGCCAAGGAGUGUGUAACAACUCACCUGCCGAAUCAACUAGCCCUGAAAAUGGAUGGCGCUCAAGCGUGCUACCCAAAUCUCGCCGCCGGGGCAGGAUCGAGGCCCCGGCGAGUAGGCGGGCGCGGGGGUCAGGGUGACGAAGCCCAGGGAGCGAUCCCGGGU
This 1336-nucleotide ribosomal RNA is filed under the name Opegrapha vulgata. RNAcentral's name for it is "LSU rRNA". It matches the Rfam family "Eukaryotic large subunit ribosomal RNA", at positions 76 to 1428 of the family's 3401-position model. Lineage: Eukaryota; Fungi; Ascomycota; Arthoniomycetes; Arthoniales; Opegraphaceae. The record is from RNAcentral.